This 67-nucleotide transfer RNA is filed under the name Endochironomus albipennis. RNAcentral's name for it is "tRNA-Trp". The record is from RNAcentral. Lineage: Eukaryota; Metazoa; Arthropoda; Insecta; Diptera; Chironomidae.
AAAACUUUAAGUUAAAAUAAACUAAUAACCUUCAAAGUUAUAAAUAAAAAAGUUUUUUUAAGUUUUA